CCGUGCGUUAGUUGGUAGAGUGUCGGUUCACACUGACAGCGGUGGUUUUGAUUUUCGGUGCCCCGGAGCUAGUCAAUCACAGCACAGAGUCCGCGUCCAGCAAAACAAAACGAGCGGUCCAGGCGCACGGAGGAAAGAGACACCGGACCAAAAACUGACGAAAAAUACCUGAGCUACACACCUCCGUCCAUCCUUUGCCCACCGUCUUGACGCACGUAAAACCCUAAAUUGGCCAUUAUGAGCGAUUUGAUGAGCCUUUCCGACCAACCGCAAGCAGUCACCCAGCCCUCGCUGGCGCUGGUUUGCCAAAAACCCCGAGACGAAC
Anopheles arabiensis is the source of this 325-nucleotide long non-coding RNA. RefSeq lists it as uncharacterized. The transcript is spliced from 3 exons. Lineage: Eukaryota; Metazoa; Arthropoda; Insecta; Diptera; Culicidae. The record is from RefSeq and is a predicted model, not a curated record.